UACCAGUGAAACAGGUCCUUUUAUAUUACGCAAUAGUUACAAAUAUUAAUUCGUUUAAUGUUAAUGUAUUGCCUUCAUUUUAGUUUUAUAUUAUUUAUUAUGACACGCAACAAAUUAUUUACGAGUGUACACACCCAGUGUCCACAAUCUCAGCUAUCUCCGGCUUAGUGCGUGUACACAAUAUCUCAACGAGGACCUCUUCAUCCGUCCCCAUGCCCUCCAUGCAGUGGUUCAGCUCCCGACAGAGGUACUCCGCGGGAGGCAUCAUUAGUGCUAUUAUAACAUCUUCAAAGUGACCACCCAGUUCUGACUUUAAAUCUUCAAUAAUGUCCUGGUGAAUUUUAUUAAGUUUUAUAUAUGUAAAAUAUUUUUUAUUUACUUAUAAUAAUUGUUUUUUUUUCUUUAAUAUAGUGGUAUACAAACUUGAUUUCUUUAAGAAGUAAUACUUCUAUAUUUCUUUUAAGAGUAAUCUUAACGCAAAUAAUUAUUUCAAGAAAAAAUUUUACUAUAAAACCAUUUAAGUUAUUAUUUUAGAAAUGCAUGUAAAAACACAUGUAAUUAUUUUACGAAAAAAAUAUAAUAGUAUAAAAAU
Long non-coding RNA from Melitaea cinxia (Glanville fritillary), 592 nucleotides. RefSeq lists it as uncharacterized. The transcript has 2 exons. The record is from RefSeq and is a predicted model, not a curated record. NCBI's taxonomy places the organism in Eukaryota, Metazoa, Arthropoda, Insecta, Lepidoptera, Nymphalidae.